CCUACGGGUGGCUGCAGUGGGGAAUAUUGCACAAUGGGCGCAAGCCUGAUGCAGCCAUGCCGCGUGUGUGAAGAAGGCCUUCGGGUUGUAAAGCACUUUCAGCGGGGAGGAAGGCGUUAAGGUUAAUAACCUUGGCGAUUGACGUUACCCGCAGAAGAAGCACCGGCUAACUCCGUGCCAGCAGCCGCGGUAAUACGGAGGGUGCAAGCGUUAAUCGGAAUUACUGGGCGUAAAGCGCACGCAGGCGGUCUGUCAAGUCGGAUGUGAAAUCCCCGGGCUCAACCUGGGAACUGCAUUCGAAACGGGCAGGCUAGAGUCGUGUAGAGGGGGGUAGAAUUCCAGGUGUAGCGGUGAAAUGCGUAGAGAUCUGGAGGAAUACCGGUGGCGAAGGCGGCCCCCUGGACAAAGACUGACGCUCAGGUGCGAAAGCGUGGGGAGCAAACAGGAUUAGAUACCCGGGUAGUC
Molecule: ribosomal RNA, 465 nt
Filed under: uncultured Klebsiella sp.
Lineage: Bacteria; Pseudomonadati; Pseudomonadota; Gammaproteobacteria; Enterobacterales; Enterobacteriaceae
Description: bacterial SSU rRNA
Rfam family: Bacterial small subunit ribosomal RNA
Source: RNAcentral